RNAcentral lists this transfer RNA (72 nucleotides) under Acaryochloridaceae cyanobacterium RU_4_10. RNAcentral's name for it is "tRNA-Gly". It matches the Rfam family "tRNA". Rfam says of the family: Transfer RNA (tRNA) molecules are approximately 80 nucleotides in length. Their secondary structure includes four short double-helical elements and three loops (D, anti-codon, and T loops). Lineage: Bacteria; Bacillati; Cyanobacteriota; Cyanophyceae; Acaryochloridales; Acaryochloridaceae. The record is from RNAcentral.
GCGGGUGUAGCUCAGUGGUAGAGCGCUUGCUUCCCAAGCAAGAUGUCGCGAGUUCGAAUCUCGUCUCCCGCU